This 651-nucleotide ribosomal RNA is filed under the name Bremia lactucae (lettuce downy mildew). RNAcentral describes it as "LSU rRNA". It matches the Rfam family "Eukaryotic large subunit ribosomal RNA", at positions 102 to 628 of the family's 3401-position model. The record is from RNAcentral. Lineage: Eukaryota; Oomycota; Peronosporomycetes; Peronosporales; Peronosporaceae.
GAUGAGCUCAAGCUUAAAAUCUCCGUGCAAAUUUUGCAUGGCGAAUUGUAGUCUAUAGAGGCGUGAUUAGCAUAGGCACUUGGGGCAAGUUCCUUGGAAGAGGACAGCAUCGAGGGUGAUACUCCCGUUUAUCUCCGAGUUGCUUAUGCGUACAAUCCGUUUUCUUUGAGUCGCGUUGUUUGAGAAUGCAGCGCAAAGUAGGUGGUAAAUUCCAUCUAAAGCUAAAUAUUGGUGCGAGACCGAUAGCAAACAAGUACCGUGAGGGAAAGAUGAAAAGAACUUUGAAAAGAGAGUUAAAGAGUACCUGAAACUGCUGAAAGGGAACCAAAUCGUUUCCAGUGUCUAUAAUCCGUGGUAUAUUUCAUUGGCGAAUGUGUGCGUGCGUGUACUAUGGCAGCGGCUUUUUGCUGCGCCUUGUGUAUGUGUGCACUUUCUCGCUGAUGCCCUGUACCGUGGUGGGACGUCAAUGUCGGUUCGUAAAUUGCGGGAAAUGACUGCCGAGGAGGUAGGGCGAACGCUUGCGUUUGUCUGUUAUAUCUUGGCGGACGUAGUAGUCGCGGUUGGGACUGAGGUGCCUACAAUGUGCUUAUGAGUACAAUUGAUUCUCUGUGUGCGCCGUGUGCGGAUAGCUUGCUAUGCGUGUGUGGCUGC